RNAcentral lists this ribosomal RNA (507 nucleotides) under uncultured Entrophospora. Its description in RNAcentral is "SSU rRNA". It matches the Rfam family "Eukaryotic small subunit ribosomal RNA", at positions 569 to 1072 of the family's 1831-position model. The record is from RNAcentral. Lineage: Eukaryota; Fungi; Glomeromycota; Glomeromycetes; Entrophosporales; Entrophosporaceae.
AGCAGCCGCGGUAAUUCCAGCUCCAAUAGCGUAUAUUAAAGUUGUUGCAGUUAAAAAGCUCGUAGUUGAAUUUCGGGAUUGGCGCAUCGGUCGUGCCUCACGGGGUAUGAACUGGUGCAGUCAAUUUCUCACCUUCUGGAGAACCGCGAUGUCCCUAAUUGGAUGCCGCGGGGAACCAGGACCUUUACUUUGAAAAAUUAGAGUGUUUAAAGCAGGCAUUUUUGCUUGAAUACAUUAGCAUGGAAUAAUAAAAUAGGACGGCAUGGUUCUAUUUUGUUGGUUUCUAGGACCACCGUAAUGAUUAAUAGGGAUAGUUGGGGGCAUUAGUAUUCAAUUGUCAGAGGUGAAAUUCUUGGAUUUAUUGAAGACUAACUACUGCGAAAGCAUUUGCCAAGGAUGUUUUUCAUUAAUCAAGAACGAAAGUUAGGGGGAUCGAAGACGAUCAGAUACCGUCGUAGUCUUAACCAUAAACUAUGCCGACUAGGAAUCAGACGAUGUUAAUUUUUU